Molecule: ribosomal RNA, 253 nt
Filed under: uncultured bacterium
Lineage: Bacteria
Description: partial 16S ribosomal RNA
Rfam family: Bacterial small subunit ribosomal RNA
Source: RNAcentral
GACGAACCGUGCAAACGUUGUUCGGAAUCACUGGGCUUAAAGGGCGCGUAGGCGGGGCUGCAAGUCAGGGGUGAAAGCCCACGGCUCAACCGUGGAAGUGCCUUUGAUACUGCGGGUCUCGAGGGAGGUAGGGGCGUGCGGAACUUCCGGUGGAGCGGUGAAAUGCGUAGAUAUCGGAAGGAACACCGGUGGCGAAAGCGGCGCGCUGGACCUCUUCUGACGCUGAGGCGCGAAAGCUAGGGGAGCAAACGGG